AGAGCACAGGGCGAAUGCCUUGGCAUUAGGAGCCGAAGAAGGACGUGAUAAGCUGCGAAAAGCUGCGGGGAGGCGCAAAUAGCUAUUGAUCCGCAGAUGUCCGAAUGGGGAAACCCGGCUGCAGUAAUAUGCAGUCAACGCAUAGUGAAUAGAUAGCUGUGCGUGGGGAACCGCCUGAACUGAAACAUCUAAGUAGGGCGAGGAAGAGAAAUCAACCGAGAUUCCCUGAGUAGCGGCGAGCGAAAGGGGAAAAGGCCAAACCGGGGUAGUUACUAGUUGCUAGUCAAUAGUUACUAGUACUUAGUAACUACUCCGGGGUUGCGGACUGAGAACGGCAUUGCGGAGGGUAGCAGAACUGCUUGGAAAAGCAAACCAAAGAGGGUGAAAGUCCCGUACGCGAAACUCAAAGCAAGCCAUCAGAAUCCAGAGUACCUAUGGGCACGUGAAAUCCGUAGGGAAGCAGGGGGGACCACCCUCCAAGCCUAAAUACUACCUAAUGACCGAUAGUGAAGCAGUACCGUGAGGGAAAGGUGAAAAGCACCCCGGGAGGGGAGUGAAAGAGAACCUGAAACCCUGUGCUUACAAACUGUCAGAGCGCAUUAAAGCGUGAUGGCGUACUUUUUGUAGAACGGUCCGGCGAGUAUUUGUAUGCAGCAAGGUUAAGGCGUAGUAAGCGCUGCAGCCGAAGGGAAACCGAGUGUUAAUAGCGCGGAUAGUUGCAUGCAAAUGACCCGAAACCCGGUGACCUACCCAUGGACAGGAUGAAGCGAGAGUAAAAUCUCGUGGAGGUCCGAACCCACCACUGUUGAAAAAGUGGGGGAUGAGCUGUGGGUAGCGGAGAAAUUCCAAUCGAACCGGGAUAUAGCUGGUUCUCCUCGAAAUAGCUUUAGGGCUAGCCUUGUAUUAAUGUAGCGGAGGUAAAGCACUGAGUGGGCUAGGGGCCUUCACAGGUUACCGAACUCUAUCAAACUCUGAAUGCCGCAUACAUGAUGUACAGGAGUCAGACUGUGAGAGAUAAGUUUCAUAGUCAAAAGGGAAACAGCCCAGAUCUACAGCUAAGGUCCCUAAAUCGGUUUAAGUGGGAAAGGAUGUCCGGUUGCGCAGACAACUAGGAUGUUGGCUUAGAAGCAGCCACUCAUUUAAAGAGUGCGUAAUAGCUCACUAGUCGAGUGACUGGGCGCCGAAAAUUUAACGGGGCUAAAACCGAUACCGAAGCUUAGGCUUGGAGUUGUCAGUUAUGAGUUAACAGUAAGGAGUAGAAAAAAUAUGGCAGAGUACAGAAAGCUUAAGGUAUAUAAUAAAUUGAUACAAACAUUACUACUGAAAACUGUGAACUGAUAUCUGAUAACUCCAGGGGUAGAGGAGCGUUGUGCUAUAGGAAGAAGCGAUACCGAGAGGAGUCGUGGACGAAGCACAAGAGAGAAUGCCGGAAUGAGUAGCGAGAAUUAUGUGAGAAUCAUAAUGGUCGAAAACCUAAGGUUUCUUGAGGAAGGUUCGUCCACUCAAGGUAAGCCGGGAGCUAAGGCGAGGCCGAAAGGCGUAGUCGAUGCACAUACUGUGGAAAAUCAGUAGCCACCGAAAUUGUCAGCAAAUGGGGACGCAGGAGUAUAGCCUAACCAUGCCGUUGGUCGAGCAUGGCCUGAAAAGGGGAGCGAAAAACAAGUAGCGAAGUAGGCGAUUACACACUGACGAGAAAAGCCAUUUGCCUUUGGAUUAGGUGCCCGUACCGCAAACCGACACAGGUAGGUGAGGAGAGAAUCCUAAGACCAGCGGGAGAAGUGUUGUUAAGGAACUCGGCAAAAUAGCCCCGUAACUUCGGGAGAAGGGGCGCUUAAGGCAACUUAAGCCGCAGAGAAUUGGUCCAAGCGACUGUUUAACAAAAACACAGGUCUAUGCUAAAUCGAAAGAUGAAGUAUAUGGGCUGACGCCUGCCCGGUGCUGGAAGGUUAAGAGGAGGGCUUAGCGCAAGCGAAGGCCUGAAUUGAAGCCCCAGUAAACGGCGGCCGUAACUAUAACGGUCCUAAGGUAGCGAAAUUCCUUGUCAGGUAAGUUCUGACCCGCACGAAUGGCGUAACGGUUUGGACGCUGUCUCAACAGCACGCCCGGUGAAAUUGAAGUACUGGUAAAGAUGCCAGUUACCCGCGACAAGACGGGAAGACCCCAUGGAGCUUUACUGCAGCUUGAUAUUGGAUUUUGGUAUGACAUGUACAGGAUAGGUGGGAGACUUAGAAGCGCGGACGCCAGUUUGCGUGGAGUCAACCUUGGGAUACCACUCUUGUUAUGCUGAAGUUCUAACCAACACCCGUGAAUCCGGGUGGGGGACACUGUCAGGUGGGCAGUUUGACUGGGGCGGUCGCCUCCCAAAAGGUAACGGAGGCGCUCA
Molecule: ribosomal RNA, 2383 nt
Filed under: activated sludge metagenome
Description: bacterial LSU rRNA
Rfam family: Bacterial large subunit ribosomal RNA
Source: RNAcentral